Non-coding RNA from Potamilus streckersoni, 74 nucleotides. The record is from the annotation of a GenBank genome assembly. Lineage: Eukaryota; Metazoa; Mollusca; Bivalvia; Unionida; Unionidae.
CGCUCCAAUGGCCCAGUGGUUAGAGCAUCCGCCUCGGAUGCGGGAGGUCAUGAGUUCAAUCCCCGGUGGAGUGG